CCCCAGAGCUCCAUCUCAAACAUGGGUUUGGGCUCAGAGCCAUGCAAAUGAUGGGACAGAAAACGAGUUUAAGAAGUAAUAGUUAAGGCUAUCUCCAGCUUAGCAGGCCAGACACUGCUUUGUGGGACCUCUGAGCUAUCCCCCUUUUACCAAGUGUGGAGACAGAGGUGACCUUGGCGAAAUCAAGAUGGAGAUGGCCUUGGGAAGCCGGGGAAAAGUACUGACUUGGAAAGGUGAUCAGUUUCCGCAGCUGGUCGUCUGUAAUGUGUACCAUGCCCCAGGCUCUGUCCUAUAAAGGUCACUUGCUGCAUACUCAGGACAAA
This is a long non-coding RNA of Suricata suricatta (meerkat), 323 nucleotides long. RefSeq lists it as uncharacterized. The record is from RefSeq and is a predicted model, not a curated record. Lineage: Eukaryota; Metazoa; Chordata; Mammalia; Carnivora; Herpestidae. The transcript is spliced from 2 exons.